UACAGAGGUCUCAAGCGUUGUUCGGAUUCAUUGGGCGUAAAGGGUGCGUAGGCGCGCGGUAAGUCGGGUGUGAAAUCUUGGAGCUUAACUCCGAAACUGCAUUCGAUACUGGAAGACUUGAGUCCGGGAGAGGUGAGUGGAACUGCGAGUGUAGAGGUGAAAUUCGUAGAUAUUCGCAAGAACACCAGUGGCGAAGGCGGCUCACUGGCCCGGUACUGACGCUGAGGUGCGAAAGCGUGGGGAGCAAACAGG
This 252-nucleotide ribosomal RNA is filed under the name uncultured bacterium. RNAcentral describes it as "partial 16S ribosomal RNA". It matches the Rfam family "Bacterial small subunit ribosomal RNA", at positions 524 to 776 of the family's 1533-position model. The record is from RNAcentral.